AAAAGCUUUCUUUAAUUGAAUAAUUGAAUUUAAUUUUUUAGUGCAAAAGCAAAAAUAAAAAUUAGGGACAAGAAGACCCUAUGAAUUUUUUAUUAAAUUUUAUAAAACUUUAUAUAAAAUUUAAUUUAAUUGGGGUGAUGGAAAAAGAAUAAAUAUCUUUUUUUAAAAGAAAAUUGGUUCCGUUCUUAGCGAUUAAAUGAAAAAAAUACUCUAGGGAUAACAGCGUAAUAAUUUUGGAUAGUUCAUAUAGAUAAAAUAGUUUGCGACCUCGAUGUUGGAUUAGGAUUCUUUUUUGGUGAAGAAGUUAAAAAAA
Molecule: ribosomal RNA, 313 nt
Filed under: Ixodes ricinus (castor bean tick)
Lineage: Eukaryota; Metazoa; Arthropoda; Arachnida; Ixodida; Ixodidae
Description: partial large subunit ribosomal RNA
Source: RNAcentral